GAUGAAGAACGCAGCGAAAUGCGAUACUUGGUGUGAAUUGCAGAAUCCCGUGAACCAUCGAGUCUUUGAACGCAAGUUGCGCCCGAAGCCUCGGCUAAGGGCACGUCUGCCUGGGCGUCACGCAUCGCGUCUCCCCCAAACCGCCAAGGCGGAGGGGAAGGAAGAUGGCUUCCCGUGCCUCACCCGGGCGCGGUUGGCCUAAAUUUGGAGCCCGCGGCACUUAGCUCUCGCGGCGAUAGGUGGUGAACAAGGCCUUGGCCGUGCAAACAACCCGCUGCGAAGCUCUAUGUCACGUGCGCUCGUCGGACCCUUUGAAGUUGCCUUCGAUGACUUAAAACCUUUGCGACCCCAGGUCAGGCGGGGCUACCCGCUGAAUUUAAGCAUAUCAAUAAGCGGAGGA
RNAcentral lists this unclassified non-coding RNA (400 nucleotides) under soil metagenome. RNAcentral's name for it is "partial contains 5.8S ribosomal RNA, internal transcribed spacer 2, and large subunit ribosomal RNA". The stretch from base 1 to 120 matches the Rfam family "5.8S ribosomal RNA", at positions 35 to 154 of the family's 154-position model. The record is from RNAcentral.